GACGAACGCUGGCGGCGUGCUUAACACAUGCAAGUCGAACGGAAAGGCCCUGCUUUUGUGGGGUGCUCGAGUGGCGAACGGGUGAGUAACACGUGAGUAACCUGCCCUUGACUUUGGGAGAACUUCAGGAAACUGGGGCUAAUACCGGAUAGGAGCUCCUGCUGCAUGGUGGGGGUUGGAAAGUUUCGGCGGUUGGGGAUGGACUCGCGGCUUAUCAGCUUGUUGGUGGGGUAGUGGCUUACCAAGGCUUUGACGGGUAGCCGGCCUGAGAGGGUUACCGGCCACAUUGGGACUGAGAUACGGCCCAGACUGCUACGGGAGGCAGCAGUGGGGAAUAUUGCACAAUGGGCGGAAGCCUGAUGCAGCAACGCCGCGUGCGGGAUGACGGCCUUCGGGUUGUAAACCGCUUUCGACUGUGACGAAGCGUGAGUGACGGUAAUGGGUAAAGAAGCACCGGCUAACUACGUG
RNAcentral lists this ribosomal RNA (468 nucleotides) under uncultured bacterium. RNAcentral describes it as "partial 16S ribosomal RNA". It matches the Rfam family "Bacterial small subunit ribosomal RNA", at positions 28 to 507 of the family's 1533-position model. The record is from RNAcentral.